GGCCGGGUUUCAAAACUAUGAGGUCAAAUUUUCUUAUAUUCGUCACUUUUUGUCAAUUCGAUCCAAUUGGACUGAACAAUGUAGUAUCCUUGAAGCACUUGGUCAUACUUUGUUUACAAAUAAGUCUAAUUAGUCUGAAUUGACGAAAUGUGACGACUACAAGGUGAUAUUGAUGAAAUUUUAUUCUUUGGAGCUUGUUUGCC
This 203-nucleotide microRNA precursor is filed under the name Populus trichocarpa (black cottonwood). Its description in RNAcentral is "miR6447 stem-loop (ptc-MIR6447)". Lineage: Eukaryota; Viridiplantae; Streptophyta; Magnoliopsida; Malpighiales; Salicaceae. The record is from miRBase by way of RNAcentral.